UACUCAGUACCACACCGCAAG
RNAcentral lists this unclassified non-coding RNA (21 nucleotides) under Mus musculus (house mouse). Its description in RNAcentral is "oocyte_clustered_small_RNA3948". The record is from RNAcentral. Lineage: Eukaryota; Metazoa; Chordata; Mammalia; Rodentia; Muridae.